This 260-nucleotide long non-coding RNA is filed under the name Locusta migratoria (migratory locust). RNAcentral describes it as "partial Lnc07015". Lineage: Eukaryota; Metazoa; Arthropoda; Insecta; Orthoptera; Acrididae. The record is from RNAcentral.
CCAACGAUGUGUGCGGGAGGUGCUGUGGUAUGGAUCUGCCGAGAUUGGUAGUUGAUCAUGAGUUAAUUACAUGAAAUGCAAGGGAAAUAUGGCGUACAGAGACACAUUUUCUCGUAACGACAAUCACAAGAAUGAGCUAACGUAGCUGCGAGUCCAGACGUCUGCAAAUCCCCAGCAUUACAUAUGAUUGGACACUAGGAUGUGUUGGUGGGGAAGGAGUAAUGAGCGUAAAAAUAUGCCUACAGCGCAUCCGUAGGCCA